Molecule: transfer RNA, 102 nt
Filed under: Nanobdellota archaeon
Lineage: Archaea; Nanobdellati; Nanobdellota
Description: tRNA-Pro
Source: RNAcentral
GGGCCCGUGGUGUAGCUUGGCCUAGCAUCCCGGCCUUGGGAGCCGGAGACCCCGGUUCAAAAGAAUAGCUAAACUCUUCUGAAUUUCCGGGCGGGCCCACCA